GGAAGUGCCUCGCAAGAGGAGCCUGGAGACAGGUGCUGCAUGGCCGUCGUCAGCUCGUGUCGUGAGAUGUUGGGUUAAGUCCCGCAACGAGCGCAACCCUUGUCUUUAGUUGCCAUCAUUCAGUUGGGCACUCUAAAGAGACUGCCGGUGUCAAACCGGAGGAAGGUGGGGAUGACGUCAAGUCCUCAUGGCCUUUAUGACCAGGGCUACACACGUACUACAAUGGCCGGUACAAAGGGCAGCCACUUAGCGAUAAGGAGCCAAUCCCGUAAAGCCGGUCUCAGUCCGGAUUGGAGUCUGCAACUCGACUCCAUGAAGUUGGAAUCGCUAGUAAUCGCAGAUCAGCACGCUGCGGUGAAUACGUUCCCGGGCCUU
This 375-nucleotide ribosomal RNA is filed under the name uncultured Desulfocapsa sp. RNAcentral's name for it is "bacterial SSU rRNA". It matches the Rfam family "Bacterial small subunit ribosomal RNA", at positions 1008 to 1382 of the family's 1533-position model. The record is from RNAcentral. Lineage: Bacteria; Pseudomonadati; Thermodesulfobacteriota; Desulfobulbia; Desulfobulbales; Desulfocapsaceae.